This 206-nucleotide ribosomal RNA is filed under the name uncultured bacterium. RNAcentral describes it as "partial 16S ribosomal RNA". It matches the Rfam family "Bacterial small subunit ribosomal RNA", at positions 1297 to 1500 of the family's 1533-position model. The record is from RNAcentral.
AUCGCAGGCUGCAACCCGCCUGCGUGAAGUCGGAAUCGCUAGUAAUCGCGGAUCAGCAUGCCGCGGUGAAUACGUUCCCGGGCCUUGUACACACCGCCCGUCACACCAUGAGAACUGGGAACACCCGAAGCCCGUAGCCUAACCUGCAAAGGAGGGCGCGGUCGAAGGUGGGCUUAGUAAUUGGGGUGAAGUCGUAACAAGGUAUC